This 748-nucleotide long non-coding RNA is filed under the name Bemisia tabaci. RNAcentral's name for it is "lncRNA ENSSSA3NGG007130". The record is from RNAcentral. Lineage: Eukaryota; Metazoa; Arthropoda; Insecta; Hemiptera; Aleyrodidae.
AUGACUCACAAACUCUUUUGUACCCUUGUAUUUUGUACUCUUCAAUUACUUACUCUUCAAUACUCUUUUUGUUUUGUUAUUAUUCCGUUGGAGCAGAAAGACUUCGACUUUGCAACAGCUGAUUUUCACAGACCUCUUCAGAUGCCGCACUCGGAGCUUUCGGAGAUACAAACGCUUGAUCGCAGAACCCAUUUCUCCACUUUCGACCCACUGCACCGGGAGCUUGCCGCCAAACUAAUCAAAAUAUUCAUGUGUCAGCGAGAUUUGAAAGAGCUGGUAUCAUGUCUGGAUCUUUGCGUGAUGAAGUUCAUCCUGACUUGUUCAACUACGCACUGUCGAUCACUUUAAUACACAGAAAAGACACAAGCAGCCUGCAAGUACCACCUUUGGCAACGGUUAUGCCUCAUAAGUUUAUUGACGCCAAAAUACUUAGACAAUUAAAGAGGCAAUAAAAACGGCACGUAUGAUUCUAACGUAAGUUUGCAGUUUUAUUGACUCAAUUGUUUUCAAUUUUAUUUUAAAUUGCGAUUGAUUGAUGGCAAAAUAAAUGCUACGGUAUCGGAAUAGUGUUGUAUGUUGCCUACCUGCUAAUUGAAGGCGCUCCAUUGAACUUUGUGAAUAAAAUUGAAGUAAGUUGCAAUUUUUCUUUCCAUCAUGAAUUAGCUGUAUCUUUGUCUGGCCGUUUAAGCUCGGCGAUCAUUACCAGAUAAUGUGAAAAUGAUUCAAUUUCAUUAAUAAAAAAGUUUAA